UACGUAGGACCCAAGCGUUAUCCGGAGUGACUGGGCGUAAAGAGUUGCGUAGGCGGCGCAUUAAGCGAGUAAUGAAAUCUGGUGGCUCAACCAUCAAAUUGUUAUUCGAACUGGUGUGCUCGAGAAUGGUAGAGGUAGCUGGAAUUUCUAGUGUAGGAGUGAAAUCCGUAGAUAUUAGAAGGAACACCGACGGCGUAGGCAGGCUACUGGGCCAUUUCUGACGCUAAGGCACGAAAGCGUGGGGAGCAAA
Molecule: ribosomal RNA, 250 nt
Filed under: uncultured prokaryote
Description: partial 16S ribosomal RNA
Rfam family: Bacterial small subunit ribosomal RNA
Source: RNAcentral